RNAcentral lists this ribosomal RNA (484 nucleotides) under uncultured bacterium. RNAcentral describes it as "partial 16S ribosomal RNA". It matches the Rfam family "Bacterial small subunit ribosomal RNA", at positions 28 to 523 of the family's 1533-position model. The record is from RNAcentral.
GAUGAACGCUGGCGGCGUGCUUAACACAUGCAAGUCGAACGGUGAAGCAGGAGCUUGCUCUUGUGGAUCAGUGGCGAACGGGUGAGUAACACGUGAGCAACCUGCCCCUGACUCUGGGAUAAGCGCUGGAAACGGCGUCUAAUACUGGAUAUGUGAUGUGACCGCAUGGUCUGCAUCUGGAAAGAACUUCGGUUGGGGAGGGGCUCGCGGCCUAUCAGCUUGUUGGUGAGGUAAUGGCUCACCAAGGCGUCGACGGGUAGCCGGCCUGAGAGGGUGACCGGCCACACUGGGACUGAGACACGGCCCAGACUCCUACGGGAGGCAGCAGUGGGGAAUAUUGCACAAUGGGCGGAAGCCUGAUGCAGCAACGCCGCGUGAGGGAUGACGGCCUUCGGGUUGUAAACCUAUUUUAGCAGGGAAGAAGCGAAAGUGACGGUACCUGCAGAAAAAGCACCGGCUAACUACGUGCCAGCCGCCGCCGUAA